CCGCUCGUAGCUCAAUUGGAUAGAGUGCCGGGCUUCGAACCCGAAGGUUGCAGGUUCGAGUCCUGCCGAGCGGGCCA
RNAcentral lists this transfer RNA (77 nucleotides) under Pseudomonadota bacterium. RNAcentral's name for it is "tRNA-Arg". It matches the Rfam family "tRNA". From Rfam's summary of the family: Transfer RNA (tRNA) molecules are approximately 80 nucleotides in length. Their secondary structure includes four short double-helical elements and three loops (D, anti-codon, and T loops). The record is from RNAcentral. Lineage: Bacteria; Pseudomonadati; Pseudomonadota.